UUGACCGUAAUCUUUACCACGCAGAUAAAUAACUGCUACUGUUCCUGGUUGCCGUCCCUGUUCCUUCCCUUCCUCUCUCUCUAGGCAGCACGCACACUCCGUCGGGGCGAUUUGGAGCGUUGUCGGGGGCACCCGCUGGUUGGGUCGGGUCGGCGGGGGGAGUGGUUGGGGCCUCAGCCUUCGUCUCGGCGCUACCGGCCGUGGCACGGGUUCGAGCGGCGGGGCUCCGGCCGCCGGCGCCCCGGCGAGGGGAGCGUCAGGGAGGCGAGGCGGCGCGAGCGGAAGCGGGGGAGGCGGGCGGCGAAGGCGCAGAGGGAGCGGCGGGCGCGGUCCUCGGGGAAGUAACGCUACCGAAGGCGGUUCCUUCCCUUGCCGCGGCACUGCUUCUCCUGGUGCGAGGUACUGGAGAUGCUCGUUGUCCCAGUCAGGGGCACCAUGCUGUUGGAGACGGCCGGACAGUGGCUAAACGACGGGAUGUAGCGGUUGCCACAGGCACCUCAGUGGUCGUUGGGUUGCUAAAAGGUCUUUCGGUAGAGAAGUAGUUUGCGCAUACUGCCAGUCAAGUUCCUCGAAUAUAGUCGACCCUUCCUACGCCUCUCGCGAAUGACCCUUGAGCAGUAUUUCCUAUAGGUUCUGCGCACGUUUGACAAACUCGGGUAGAUACUGCUCUGGCUACCUCGACUACCAAUGCAAAGUCACCUCCACAGAGGAUCCAACCGUUUACUGUGGGUUCCUUGGCAACUUCGACGCUUCACCAAUGUGUUUCACCAGUUGGCGGGGUUACACAUAUAGUUCUAGGGUCGAUGACGUCUUACGCAAGGAAGAUAGUUCCUUCAGUAACGAUUACCGUAGUCGCAGUUACAAUGAGAAUAGAAGAGGCAACGUUCUAUGCUCCGACACUAACUACGAAUGGAGCUGCCCGAACUCCGAAGACCAAACUCGCUGAACAGGGCUCACUGGUCGCACCGUAGGAAGAAACAGUCGGCUCAACUGUCAGACUAGCUGUUUUACGAACUCUUCUAACCUUGUGGCCUCCGAGAACGGGACUCCCCUUUCCGACGGCAUCGUGUUCGUUUCUAUCGUUUGGUCGAAAUGGACUUCUUUAAGAGACCGGGCUCCACCCUCCGAAACCACUUCUUCCCUCGGUUCUUCGUCUCCAACAACACCCGUAGGUGGUCGCACUUCUUGGGCCGAAUGAACCUGUGAGAAAUGCAGCUAGGAGAGUAGCCUGGACUGUGGCAGAGAUGCUACGGGCUGGUUCGAGACCUGCGCAAGUAGCUGGUGCCGUGUCAACGAUCCUGUUAGCUGCGAUUGCACAGUCUUCGACUCCCGUAUAUGUCACGGGACCUCUUCGACCCGUAGCUGACCCUUCUCCAACCGUUCGUCGACCUCGUGCUCCCCCACUCGAGGAAGUUCCCCUCGAAGCUGUCGGACGAGUGCUCGAACCUCCUCUUCCCGUUGCGGGAGUUCUGACGGCGGUUGGACAUCCGCGAUUUUAAUAGCCUAUCUUACCAAACCAUGGCCGCGACCGGUAGUUUGCUAAUGGCUUAUUUUUACGGUCGAACGACCGAGAGAGGAAGGUAAACCUUUACUUUACGAGGGUCAAUAGACCCACUCGAACGAAGAACAUAAGAUCCGCACGGACCGACAGUAACACAUUGACUCCGGACAACGAACGUUGACGAUAAGC
RNAcentral lists this ribosomal RNA (1690 nucleotides) under Triticum aestivum (bread wheat). RNAcentral describes it as "partial small subunit ribosomal RNA". Lineage: Eukaryota; Viridiplantae; Streptophyta; Magnoliopsida; Poales; Poaceae. The record is from RNAcentral.